RNAcentral lists this ribosomal RNA (716 nucleotides) under Ditylenchus clarus. RNAcentral describes it as "partial large subunit ribosomal RNA". It matches the Rfam family "Eukaryotic large subunit ribosomal RNA", at positions 353 to 911 of the family's 3401-position model. Lineage: Eukaryota; Metazoa; Nematoda; Chromadorea; Rhabditida; Anguinidae. The record is from RNAcentral.
GUGAGGGAAAGUUGCAAAGCACUUUGAAGAGAGAGUUAAAGAGGAUGUGAAACCGAUAAGAUGGAAACGGAUAGAGCCGACGUGUCUUGCCUGUAUUCAGCUGGUUGGUUGUACUUGGGUGGCUUGACGGUCCUGAUUCUGGCCGGCAUGUUACCCGUAGGCAAUUAUACUGGUGCAUUUGCAGGUUGUGUGCGCCAAAGUUUGUACUAUGCACUGGCUGGAUAGUUGCUAUGAGGUCUCACCUCGGUGAGAAACCCUAGCCUCUGGAAGGCUGUGUGCUGUGCAUGAACAUUGUUCUAUGGCUAACGACCGAGCUGUCUUUUGGUUCUGGUUAUUGUGUCAGUCGCAUGCGACUGUGCUUUAACUGGUUCUGACUGGCGGUGAGGUAUCUUAGGACUAUUUGGUGUAAAGGUUGGUUUUCUCUCCGACCCGUCUUGAAACACGGACCAAGGAGUUUAACGAUUACGCGAGUCAAUGAGUUUAAAACUCAAAGGCGCAAUGAAAGUAAAGGUUUGCUUGUCAAACUUAUAUGCGACCCCGAUGGCUUCGGCCGUUGGGAGCAGCAUAGCCCUGUUCUAUCUGCUUGCAGUGGAGUGGAGGUAGAGCGUACUCGUUGAGACCCGAAAGAUGGUGAACUAUGCCUGAGCAGGACGAAGCCAGAGGAAACUCUGGUGGAAGUCCGGAGCGGUUCUGACGUGCAAAUCGAUCGUCUGACU